Passer montanus (Eurasian tree sparrow) is the source of this 1855-nucleotide long non-coding RNA. RefSeq lists it as uncharacterized. The transcript has 4 exons. The record is from RefSeq and is a predicted model, not a curated record. NCBI's taxonomy places the organism in Eukaryota, Metazoa, Chordata, Aves, Passeriformes, Passeridae.
CUUGGCGCGGCAGGGCACGAACGCGGGGCGCAUGGGGUCGCUUAGCACGGUUUAAGUCGCCUUCAAAACUCACUUUCAUCUUUGCUGGGAAUAAGAGGAUGGAGACAGCAUUAUUUCAGCAUCAAGAAAACAGCAACUCUACGUUGAAACUUGGCAAGAUAAAAAGGAAAACAGAAGAUAAUAAAUACAAGCUAAAAUGGUAAUCUAACUGUUGUGGGAUUCUACAUGAAAAACACUGUGGACAAAUUAUAUGGACGUGUGAGCAAAGCCUGAUGUCUUCCUUACCGUGGGUGAGACUUCCCACUGCUCUGAUAUGGCAGCUCUUUCCUUGGGUCUCCUGGAGAUUUCUUUGAGCAAGGCAAUGCUGCUGACUGGUUCUCCUCUCCAGGAACGUGGGGUCUGCCUGGGAAAAGGGCUAUCAACAAUCCAAGGUCAUCUGUGCCUGUUCUCACUGUGUGUUGCUUUUGCUGGUAGCUGAUAAAGGCCCAACAUCUGAGUAACAGGAGUAGCCAGGGAAGCAUGUGUGGCUUCAUCCCAUUUUUGCAAUACACUCCCUGCCAAGCUGCACCAAGAGCUCUUUGCUGCAGAGCAGGAAUGGGCCUAUAUAUCCAACAAAAAAGGACCAGAGGGACUCAUUAAACUUCUAAACAUGACCUCAGACAGGGUUUUUUAAUUAUCUGAAAAUGUCACCAGUUUGCAUUAGAAAAUCUCAGGGUUUUCUAGGGCUUGGCCAGAUUUUGGUACCUUCUUUCAGUAACACAAAUCUAUCUCCUGUUCUGCAGUGUGAUACAGUCCUAGGCUAUUUUUUUUAAUGUGCAAAACAAAAUCAUUAUCCCACGAGUGAAUAUUGCCCAUCCUACAGUAAGUACUCGAGUGUUCACCAUUAAGUGACUAUCACAGCAACAAGUGAAGUCGAACCAGAAAUCCUCAGAGUAGUGACAUGUGGUGUAGGUUGCUACUUGGUGGUCACCAGUUCAGGUGCAUGCUGUGACAUUUGUUUCUUUGCAGCACACACAUCAACUGUGUGCUUGUGACAAGUUGGCAGUUUGUGGUUAGCUUUUCCUGUGAGCAGUGAGAGUACUGAGCAGGGAGGGUCUGAAGUUGCAUUCAAUGUCACCUGGACCACUACGAUAUUAAAUAAUAUAAUGUAAUAUGAUAAUGGAAACGUUCUUAAAGAUUGCUUCCCAGAACUGUUUUGGGAUAGAUCUCAGCAUCUUGGCAACUCUCCAGCUAGCAGAAAGCUUAUUUCUCCUAAGCAGUGCCUGUAACCAAAUGGCUUAGAUUGCUUUGAUGGAAGAGAUGCUUCCCUCCAGGGAUAUAUGCCUGGCACAGUACCGAAGUUGACCUAGUAGUUGGAAUAGGCAAAGUUUUGGAAAGAGGAACCCUAGACAGAUCCUAAAUUUUAACUUUUUUGCGAACUUCUGAUGAUCUUUAAUGAACAGGAAACCACUGCAUUGUGUACCUGUCCUCACUGUGAGUAACAAUUAUACUCUUUCUCUUCUCCAUUCCUCUUCCUUUUCUCUUUUGCCCCAGCAUUGGAUAGUUUUAUUUUGUAAAGUAGUUGAGAAGCAAGAGAGUUUUUUUGUUUUCUUUGCUUUUUCAAGUUCAACCCAGGAAGACUGCUAUUUCUACUUCUGGUAACAUCUCACCAAACAUCAGUACUUCCAUUCUGUUAUUCAGUAAGUUGUGAAUGAAAAUGUUUUUCUAGUUUCCUUACUUUUACUGCUUUGAUAGUAGUGUGUUUUAAUUGUCCUUAGUUGAGUUUCUUCUGGAUGUAUAUAUGCAAAGAAUGGGGAUGCAGGCUUGGUUUUGGUGGUGCUUGUUUGUGUUUUUUUAGAGGGAUAGAGGAUGCCUG